RNAcentral lists this long non-coding RNA (5320 nucleotides) under Brassica napus (rape). RNAcentral's name for it is "long non-coding RNA (BNAP_LNC001452)". Lineage: Eukaryota; Viridiplantae; Streptophyta; Magnoliopsida; Brassicales; Brassicaceae. The record is from RNAcentral.
UCCUCCUUGGCCGCAACAUCGACGGAGACAGAAGUAGACGGAGGAGGCUCCUCCUCCUCCGCGGAUCCAUCGCUUCCUCCUUUUCUCUUGGAAAGCACGUCCUGGAGAUUCGAGACGAGCGCGGCCGACAAGCCGUUGUUCUUCGAGGUCAUCGUGUCGAAAGAGAGAACACGCAGAUGAGGUGGGUCCUGUCUUGAAGACGAAGAAGAAAGUUGGGAGAGGGAGAGAGAGCGGGUCUAACGGAGGAAAGAGAGAAGCUUUAAUUGGCAGAGAGAGAGAGAGAUUACCUGUGUCAACUGUUAUCUCUUUUUAGAUAGACAAGAGGAAGAACAGUGACCCGCUAUUUUUUUUCCAAACAGAAAACAUAAAUAUUAAUAAGUAUACAAUUUAAGUUAAUAAAAUAUUUAGCCAUAUAAAUACAUAAACCUCAUAAUUAAAAUAAAUUAUUUGGAAUAGUAUUUUUUACAAGUUAAUAUAAAAUUAUUCUUACUCGUAAACUCUUACUUAUGCAUAUAAAGACCUGGACCUUGAAAUUAAAAUAAAUUUAAUUUUUUUUUUCUGGUUAGGGUCAAAAGAAUGUAACAUGUUAUGAAUGGUCCACAUCUAAUAAUUACUCAGUUAUUAUGACAUGCAUUUAAAGAUAUUUGUGGAAAAUAAUUUGAACCGACAACAUCAUAGUAUCAUGUUGGUUGAUAAUUAAAACUGUUAAUUGUUGCUAGAUCAUAUGCUACUGGAAUUUUUUUUUUUUAUAUCAAAAUAGCCUUUUGAUUUAAUUAGUUUUAGUUGCACUAUGUUAUUUAUGCUUUAUUACUGAAUUGGGUACAAAUAAGCUGGUCUGAUAUUGACUGAAUCUUAGUGCAGCCGUCAACCCAAAGCUCAAGCCACUGGUAUCUGCCCAGACCUGGUUCAACAUGAGAAGUUUCCAACAAUGACUGGAGACUCAUACAGCCAGAGAGUUUGAUAGUCUCCAACAGAACUAGUUCCGGAAACGCUUUAAGUCUUCUGCAGUUACAAAGGCUGACGUGUUUCAGCCUCAGAAGUUGAUUCAUGGUCUCUGGUAAAGUCUCGAAAUCGUUGCCGUUCCAGUCCAGCUUCUCUAGGAGUUGUAAGGAGCUUACAUCAUCUGGGAUCACUUUAAUGUUUAAGUUGAAUAGAUUUAACUCUUUCAAGCAGGGGAACAUGUAAAGGCUAUGACAGAGGAAACUUGCAGCAGCAGCAUCACUCUUGUAGUUGAACCUGGUGAUCUCCAUGGCAUUAAAACCGUGGAACUCUGACCUAUUGGGUCGAUGCCUCUGCUGCUCUACUUUCUUUGUCCUCCGUUUAUGAUCGUAAAACAGAAGUGGUUGCUGGUCCAUCCUUAUCAGUACAUGAGGUGCUUGUUUCUCAGAACUAAAACAAAGGUGAUCCACGUUGCCGGCAAGCCCCACCAUCUGAAUUUGUAUGUUUCCUCCAAUGGAUAGAUAUGUAGUGGACCUCAUUUCCACUUCAUUACUUGAGAAAUACAAAACAAUCUGCCAAGAACGCCCAGUGAAUUCCUUUAUGGUGAUGUGGUAGUUACUAGUAAGCUCAUCACAGUCUGUGACAUCAAGCAUUGUCAGGCUAGUAAGGUUACUAAUGGACUCUGAAUCCUCUUGAGCCUCUUGCAGCCUUGAGUUAUCACUUCUUCCAAAUUCACCGCAUGCGAAAGAUCUGGAAGCUGUUCAAGAUUCUUAGACCCUGUCAAGUCUAGUCUUCUCAAGUGUAGUAACCACUGGGGAUAAGAUAAACCAACAAGGAAUAAGCAAAUUGUUAGUUAACAUGUGGUAGUAAUCACUGCGCACUUAUGAAGAGCGUUUACCUUGGUUCCUUUCAUCAAGCUUGUGAGAUUGCUGUAACGUAAACUGACUUCGACAAGACCUAGUGGAAGGAACCGGGGAGGAAAGUCUGUCAAAGGAAACGCAUCCCAGUGUAGUAACCUAAGCCUCACCGAAAGUAAAUAUGUAUCGUCACUCAUGAAAUGCAGCAUGGGAUCAACGUGGUCUGAGAGCCUGUGAACCUUGAGGAACUUGAGAUUAUUGUGGUCGUUUUUCGCAUACCCAUCGAGAUACAACUCUUCUGGCAUCUCGCACAUGUGUAGAGCCAUGCAUGCCACUGAUUGGUUGUCCUGUGGUGUUGACACUGAGAAAGUUAAGUUUGCAUUUAUACAACAGCAACAUAUGUUACAGAUGCUGUAGACUAGGCCUGCGGUUUAUAACCGAGCUCGCCGAACCAAAGGUAGGUUUAUUAAAAAAAAAUCUGGUUUUCGGUUCGGUAAUAAAUUAGUUCGGUUUUUCGAAAACUACUCGGUUCCUUCUUAUGUGGUAACUGGUAAGGACGAAGAGACUUGGGCUCGAUGCAUCACAAGGUAAUGAUGGUAUCCAAGAGGUGUGUAGCUACGUAGAAGCAUCUGAAUACCUUCAAAUUAAAUCAAAGCGAUACAUAGUAGCAGAUGAAGGAGAGUAUUCACCUUCAUAUCACAUGUUGCUUUGACAACAUCUCCAUAGCCCUCAAAGCGAUGCUUACAUAAGUAUUGUUCAGCGUUCAAUAAAACUAACAAGCAAAGACUUAUUGUCCCUAUGAUUAUGUAAAGAUUUGAUGGAAGCUAUGAAAAAAAGGUGGGUCACACUUGUAGGAUAUUGAAAAAUAAAUUCAAUGCAAUAUCAACAUGUUUCACAUUGGAAACCUCCCUACCUCCUUUAUUAAGCAAAACUCAAAGAUAGCUCUCUUCAUAUAUCUGAUCAAUAACAACAUGCUUCACAUUAGAAAUCUCACUACCUCCUUUAUGAGGCAAAACUCAAAGAUAGCUCAUGAUACAUAUCUCAGCUGAAGCAAUAGUGUCAUCCAGGGGAUCUGGGACCGUUCUUCUCGAUCAAAAGGUAUACAAAAACAAAGUUUCUACGAAUUUAGAAGAUAAUAAAAGUAGACCGACCCUUUUCAAUUACAAAGGCAAGUGUUCCAAAACAGCUACUGACAAACAAACAAGCCAACAGAAGCAAGCCACGAGGGAAAUCGAAUAAAUAGAAUAAACAAAAGGGUUAAAACGACACACACAUGCUGAAUCUAGUUACCAGAUUUGUUUGGCCAAAUCAUGUAACAUAAUUUACUAGAAGGACCUUUUUCAUUGAUCAGCAUUAAGGGCUUUGGAGAUCCAUUCUGAUGCUGCGGCUUGAGUUUCUGAAUCCAUCUUUGGAAGUAGCGACAAUGGAGUCACAGAAACCUGUCAUUACAAAAAAGAGUUCAGUAAAGUAGCUUAGAUUCCAGACCAGAGAAGAGCGUGUGAUCAUGCCAACUUACAAAACCAUCUUCUAGAGCCUUGAUAUCCAAAUCUUCAUCCGUAUGCUCUUCUUGUUCUUUACCCACAAACUGCAUAUUAACAUAGUCAGGACUCAGGAUCUCAAACACAAUGGUACAUACUAUCAAUAUCCAAAGGAUUUGUGAAGAGAACGUCUCAAAGUUCUUCUUUACCUCUAGGCGGAAGUAUUUCUUAACACGGCUAUCAGUUUUAGCAGCAACACCAACCGAUUCAAUCUCCACAAUACUCUUCUUCUGUGUGGUGAAACGACGAGCCGCUCCCUGAGAUCACCAGAUAUCUUAAUCUCAGUAUCUAAUUAACUACUUUUGGACCUUGUGAAAACAAAGUUGAGGUUUAUAACUUUUGAAUAGAAGGAAUUAACUCACAGCAGCUGAAGCAUCUCUGCCAAGCUGAGCAAGUUGAGCUCCUAGGCUUUGUUGGUUGGACAUGAAAUUCCCAGCACCAGGGUGACGGUUAGCUGAAACAGCUUGCCAGCUAGGAGUCUGCCUCCACAUGCUUUGUUUUGUUACCUUAAAACCCUAUUCAUAUAUGUACAUGAAACAUCAACUUCCCUAAACCAUUAGCCAGUGAGGUUCUAAUUUCACAAAACAAAGAACAUGGUAACCAAUGCAAGCAUAGAACUCGAACCAACAACCCGUUUCUGAGUCGAAAAUGCAAACCUUGUUUGAUGAGGGGGAUGUUGGAAUUUCUAUUCCGAGAGAGCAAUCUUUAGGGAAAACUCCUUUCUCAAUGUCUCUAAUUGUGGCGGUUAUCAAAGGUAAACAGACACCAACAGCAUCCUUAAAGUCACUUUCUUUGCUUUCAUCUUUCUUCCUGUAAUAAUAGAUAAGAAAAUAAGAAGUAUGACCAAAACGUCCCAUGAUAAAUAAUCACUAGUUCUAUGACAUAUAUCAGCACGCAUUCCCAUGAUAUACGCACCAGUUCAAUGAUAAACACAAAGAGGGUACUCCAGAAAUCAAGGCUUCCCUGGCUCCAGCCACUCCACCGGAAUAGAACCUGAAAGAUUCUCGCAUCAGGAAACACAAAGCAGAUGGACAGACAAGGAAUAACUAGUUAAGAAAAAAAGCACAUACAUUUGAUGCCCACAGCUUGAGCCCUGAUUGAUUCCACUAAUUAUCUGAAGAAAAUAAGGAAAAGGAUGCAUAACAUUAGAAGAUACCAUAACAUCAUAUAUGAUGGGGAGAUGAUUAAAAAAAAUGCUAAACCAGUAUUGGUUUUGACCAAGCGAAAAGCGCUCCGGAUAAUCCUAAUGAGAUGCAGUCCACAGGAGUCCCUGAGACAAAAACAACAAUAAUCUCAAAGCCUAUGAACAGAGACGGUACUCACACCAUGAUGCAAAAGACUAUUCCAACAACCAACAAAAAGACUUCAACUUUCAGCUUAUAGAUGUAAUGAUCAUUCACCUGAAACUUCAAAGGCUGUGGCACCUUUGAUACCAGCGGAACUCGCAGCAAUGGUUUCUGCAGGAGUCAUAGAAUGAGAAGAAGCCGAUUUAUCCCUGCCACAUUCACAAGCCUUGUGGGUCACUAAAAGUUUGAAACUUUAACAAGAAAAAAUGAACAAAUCAUAAAACGAAAUCUUGCUCACGUUUGAGGAGCACAGACAUGGACAUUGUAGAGCCCUUCCUUAACCAAAGCCUCGACGAGAGAGACGAGCCCAAUCGAAUCAAUCCCAUCCCCAUUCGUGACUAAAACGAUGGGUCUGGAGUCAUCGAUCUCCUCCUUGGCCGCAACAUCGACGGAGACAGAAGUAGACGGAGGAGGCUCCUCCUCCUCCGCGGAUCCAUCGCUUCCUCCUUUUCUCUUGGAAAGCACGUCCUGGAGAUUCGAGACGAGCGCGGCCGACAAGCCGUUGUUCUUCGAGGUCAUCGUGUCGAAAGAGAGAGCACGCAGAUGAGGUGGGUCCUGUCUUGAAGACGAAGAAGAAAGUUGGGAGAGAGAGAGAGAGCGGGUCUAACGGAGGAAAGAGAGAAGCUUUAAUUGGCAGAGA